UCCGUAACCUGGCAACAGCCAAUAAGAGGAAAGGGUUACGACUGCACUUUCUGGCGCUCGACAAUGCUAUCUCGUUGAAGACCCAAUUGGCGUCUGCUAAAAUGAAAACUAUCUGAGCGUUGAGUGAAGGGCUGAAGGCUGCAAGAGGGCAACGACACGCCGUGUGUUUCGGCUUGUUUCGACGGAUUGUUAUAACCAGGUUUUUUAAAAAAUUGUAAUUGAAAAAAGUUAAGAAAUCAGUCCUGAGUUUAAUAAUUCAUUCAGUUGUGCAUAUGUACCUCAACGGAAAGCCAUACGCUUUUUAAAAAAAGAACAACACAAUUUGAAGGAAAGAUGAAACAUGGAGUCAUUUCAUGGUAUGAGGGUCCUGGCUCUACGUUCCUUAUUAGCUGGAUGAAAGCUAUUUCUUGUUUUGUUCAAAAUGGAAUGUAGUUUCUUCUUGUUCGCCAAUAUUGGUUUGAGAAAUUUUUUUAAUAUGAUCAUAAUUAAAUCUUUGUUGUUUUCACCAGGUCUUGCCACUUCACAUACAAAAGUGCUGUAUGUCUCAAUGUGGGAAAGAAGGAAUCCAAACAGUCCCUUCAGCAAGAAAGUCGACUUUGAAAUCUGUGAAAGAAUUUCCUUUACAAAAAAGUACACUGUCCAGAGCCGGGAAACAUACUCAUCUGUUGGGUACAAAAGUUCACCAGGGUCUAGAACAAACAGUUACAGUAGGUAGUAGGAGUUAGACAUUAUUACAAUUUUGUUAUUGAUAGAUUACCUAGGCGAUAAAUCAACUGCAUCAGUGAGUCAAAACUUUUUGUCCUCUGGAAUCUAGCGAUACAGUCAACGCAAAAUUUCUGCUCCACCAGAACGCGUAUAGUGUAUCCAGCUAGAAAGGCCGCAGUGCUUGAUUGUGAUGAUGGCUGUAACUUUUCUGUAAAAAAAAAAUUAUUCUUUGGACAAGAAACAGCGUUUUUUCCAUCAGAUGCUGUACAUGAAGGUUUUUUUAAUUGCUCGAGUAUCCGAAAAAAUAAAGCUGAUUCGCGUGACAAGAUUGUAUUGCCGUAAAUGGAUUUGUAGGCUAUGCCUGUACGAAGGAUCUUCUCAAAUGCCUGUGAAACUGCCGUUGCGUACCCCUUAAAGUUUCCUCCAAUCAUCUGGUGAAUGGCACCAAUCAACUGCUCUACAGGAUCACUGGAGAAUCUCCUUAACCCCAUUCUACAACGAGACCAGCUUCGUCGUCCUGUGGCCAAUUGGAUAUAUCUACCCAGUCAUCAUGUCGUUCAACGCGCUGGCGUUGCUGAAUCAAAGCUGUUCGUCUACUCGAUGAGUUUGCAGCGAUUACAAUCGACACUUUCGUUGUUGGGGCAGUAGUUAGAGUCGGCAGAAUCUUUGCUGGAGUUGCUGGAUUAGUCCCUAAAUUUAUGAAGGAGGUAGUCGCAAUGGAAAUCAGUGGAUUUAUGGGUGGGAUUAGAUUAUUCCUGAAACCAUCGUUUGAAUCAUCUGAUUCGUAUCUGGA
Molecule: long non-coding RNA, 1498 nt
Organism: Daphnia magna
Lineage: Eukaryota; Metazoa; Arthropoda; Branchiopoda; Diplostraca; Daphniidae
Exons: 4
Source: RefSeq, a predicted model, not a curated record